RNAcentral lists this ribosomal RNA (254 nucleotides) under uncultured bacterium. RNAcentral's name for it is "partial 16S ribosomal RNA". It matches the Rfam family "Bacterial small subunit ribosomal RNA", at positions 524 to 776 of the family's 1533-position model. The record is from RNAcentral.
UACGAAGGGGGGCUAGCGUUGUUCGGAAUCACUGGGCGUAAAGGGCGCGUAGGCGGGCCCGCAAGUCAGGGGUGAAAUCCCACGGCUCAACCGUGGAAGUGCCUUUGAUACUGCGGAUCUCGAGGGAGGUAGGGGCGUGCGGAACUUCCGGUGGAGCGGUGAAAUGCGUAGAUAUCGGAAGGAACACCGGUGGCGAAAGCGGCGCGCUGGACCUCUUCUGACGCUGAGGCGCGAAAGCCAGGGGAGCAAACGGG